This is a long non-coding RNA of Spinacia oleracea (spinach), 4581 nucleotides long. RefSeq lists it as uncharacterized. Lineage: Eukaryota; Viridiplantae; Streptophyta; Magnoliopsida; Caryophyllales; Amaranthaceae. The transcript has 3 exons. The record is from RefSeq and is a predicted model, not a curated record.
UUUUUCCACACAAUUUUGAGAACUAUUUCUCUCUCUUCUAUUUUCUUUCUUCCCUUCCAAGUUUUCUUCCUUUCUUUUUCUCUCUCUUUCUUUUUCUCUCUUUCUCUCGUGUGCAUGCAUGCCCAGCCGAUCGAACUCGCCAUCUCUUCGUCGUUGUGUGCCUCGAGGCACUGUCGUGGGUGCUGCUGCCUUUCCCCGCGCACAACCCCUCUCCCUCUCUCUUGCUAGCCGUGCACAACCCUGCACUACGCGCGCGCCCAGCCACCGCAAGCAAGCACGGAGCUUGUUGCCCUUGCUCGUUCUCGUGCACUUCCAUCACUCGUGUGCUUUCCCUUUUGUGCCAGAUUACCUCAAAUUAGUAUUGGUACCGUGCUAUAGGCUGGUAUGGAGGAGAUCUGUAAAGUAGUAGCUUGAAUCGCAAAGUGGCCCCCGUUCUUAGAACUUCAAGAAAUUUGAUAACAGGUUGGUAGAGAUGACUUGCAAGAGAAGUUAUCUUGCAUGGGGCUGGUUGAGCGAGUUUCUUUUUCUCUUGCACCAUUUCAAACUCUAUUUAUUUUCAUUUGCCUAAACUAUAAUGUUUUAAUUAGUUAAUGGAUUUGGUUUUACGGUAUUUGAUUUGGGACGUGAUGCUUCCAACUUGUAUGGAGACCGUUAACAGUCUUUUAUUGUUUUCAAAGUUUAUUUAUUCCGCUGCGUAACUUUGGUAAUUAAAUAGCCUUAACCGUUAUCACGGUGGCGGUAAUACUUUAGUAAUUCCUUAUUUAGAGUUAGAAAAAGGGUUCAUUCUAGUAAGGAAUUAUUAGGGUGUUACAAAUUUCUCUGUUUUUCCUAUACUUAUUGUCCGUAUUUCAUGUCAUGUGUCAACAGAUACAUUCGGUAUGUCGUUUACGUUGAUUGUCGUCAGUCCUCAGCCACCCAAUCUUCUCAUUGUCAAAGUCACGGGUACUUUUAAUAAAGUUUGUCUUAGGCUUGAUUAUGAUGUUAGCAACUUUGAGUUUUUAAUUCUGGAACUUGAUUUGGUGUUGUAUCGAGGGUAUUCUUUUAUUUAUUUUGACUAUUGAUGGCACCAAGGUUUUGAAUAAUUUUGUCGCUUGAAUUCGGUUAAUGUGGAAGACAUUUGAGAAAAUGAAGUAUACAAUUUUGUGAGAGUUAAGGUACAUCAUAACAUCUUCAUAUCCUUUGAUAUAAUUAGUAUUGGACUUUAUGUUGUUAUUCAUGAUAAAUGCAGUAAGUAUAAUAACAAAGGUAAGCGAUAACUUCCUUUUAAUCAAAAAUUAUGUAUGAGUAGUAAGGUAUGAAGUAAAUUGUAGUUGAACUUUUCUACUUCAUAUUGCACAAAUUUUCUAUUCUUUAGAGUACUAUUUAGAAAACAUAAUGACAAAUACAUGGAAAUGAUUAUAUAUACUUCGUAUAUUACUUGAAUAAUCAUUAAGGAAAAGAGUGAUUCUGUAACACCCCGUAUUUUUAAACCUCUUUUAUUAUUCUGUAAUUACGAUUAUUAACGUGAUUACGUCCUAAAUUUUUCCGAUUAUUUUAAUUUAUCUUAUUAUGUUCACGUUUUUAUUGUGACAUGAUACAUAAUAUUUAAUCCCAUUUGUUGAUAUCCCAUAAUCUGAUUUUUCUAGCUAAAGUAUGGAAUUUACGUUUUUAUCCUUGGUCAAUUAGAUUACCAAAAUUCAUUUCUCUUCUCCUUUCUUCCAUACAUGUAAAUGGUGGAAAUUGCCACCAAUAUUUUGACUCCUCUUAAUUUCUUCCUAAAAUCUGUCCAAAUUCACAACAAAUUUAAUUCUCUCUUCUCCUUCCUUGCGUGGCUAGCAAUUUGAUUGCCAGAUGUUGAAUAAUUUCUCCUAUUUCCAUGACUCACCAUGUUAAGAAAUUCCUAUAAAUAGCCAUUGAAAUUCCAUUGUUCUUCAAGCUAAAAACCAAUUAAUGUUUCUUAUUGUAUUUUUAAGCUUAAUUCGUUUCCCCUCUAUUUAUUUCCUUGAAUUUUCACCAUUAAUGGAUACCCAUUUUCUCUCUCCUCCAUUUGACCACCGCGGUGCCUCCACUGCUGCCACCACCUGUGCCGGCGAAUCCUUCCUUCGCCGUGUCCAUCCACCACUGCCCAGAACCCCAAUACAGUCGCCGGAGUCCACCCGACUCUGCUGCACCGUGCGCCGCCGGGGUAAUGGAGUUGUUGGCUCUAUUUCCUCUUUUGAUGGUGUGUGCUACUGCUUCUAUUCUUUAUCUUGACAAAAACAUCCAAAAAUAAAAGGAGUUUGUUAGUGGGCCAUGGGUUAUUUCUUAAAUAAGCUUAAUGUAUGGGAUUAGUCAAAUUAUAUCAAGGAAAGUAAUUUUAGGCCAAUGUAAGUUUGUCACUUUUUAAAUGGACAUUUAUUUAAAGGUUCUUUUAAGCAAAAUUAUUAACUUUGUUGUUUUAUGAUCUUGAAGUUCCUUGGGAAUUAGAUGGCGAAGUCAAUUAUUGUGAUUUUGGGAGUAGAGUUUCGUACUAAAUUUAGCAUACGAAAUUUCAAAUGAGGUAAUUAUUAUGUCUAGCAUUUUAGCCUACAUGCAUGUAUAUGUUAUGUAAUUUUUAUGUCCAGCGUUUAUAUUUAUGCCCGUAUAUAAAAAUAUUUUAAGGUGUAAUUUUUAUGUCCAACACUUAUUUAUAUGCCCGUAUGAUGUUUUAAGGUGUAUGUAAUAUCCCAAUAUUUUAUUAUUUCAUAAAAAUAUUUUUUUUAAGUUAAAAUAAAAGUAUAUUUAUUUAUUAAGAAAGUUUCCUAAUUUGUCAAGUCUUUCUUAUAAUUUACGACAAAUUUAAAACCCAUUUAAAUUAUUUUAGGACUCUUAUUUUGAGCGUAUAAAUAGUCUUACUCUAAACCCUAAUAUUAAUUUCCUAGAAAAAAAAACUAUAGUGCAGCCUUUAGGUUUUUUUUUUCUUGUUCUUCCGUAAGCUGUGUGAGAUAAUUGUUUACCAAUCAACCUUUUUAAUUAAUCCUCUUAUUUUGAUCCUCAUUGUCAUCAAUUCCAGGCCCAUUGUUGGGUUUCGUAGCAUUGCAGUUUUGGUCAAAGAGUUGGAAUUUUACUCCAUUAUUGAUGUCCGAGUACUUUGUUCCGUAAAGUAAUCACACACGCUUAAUUAGUUCCUCGAGUUGUUUGGGUAAUUAUUGUAAUCUUACUCGUUAUUUUGGAGCCGUAUGUUUAAAUGCGUACUAUUGUUUAUUAAUCAUGUUUGGUUCGAAGUUGUGAAAUAAUUACCCGUAUCAUGUUUUUGAUUUGCAUAUAUGCAUUGAUUUGUCCUUUAUAUGAAGGUGAUUAUGGUGAUGAUAUUUUGACAAGUUUGAUUUGUUGAUUUGGUUAUUAAUUAGAUGUCUUUUUGUUUCAGUUUGUUUGCUAGUAAUUAACUUACUUUGUUUUAUAUUGAAAUAGCAUACCAGUUAUGCUAAUGUAGCUUCGAGGUUAAUCUGCAUAGCUUGUGGUAUUAGAGUUUGAGUAUGUUAGUUUUGGGGAUUGAUCAAGUAUCGUUCUUUGUAUUUAGUCUUGUUCGCUUGCCGCCAAAAAAAAAAAGGAUUAGAGAUUAUGUUAUUAUUUUGGGAUAUUGUGCCAUUAUUGAGAAGUAUAUUAUUGGCCCUAAGUGAGUUUGGAUCGUAUUAUGAGAUCACAAGGUCAAAGUUGAUAAUGAUGAUUAUAUUAUUGGUUUGAGGCUCGACGUUAUAGACCUUAGUCCUUGGCAUGUUGGUAAGAAGAUGAUAACCAUUAGUAGAGGAGCAAGAUGCAAUCUUUAUUUUCUUAGUAUCCCCGACAGUGGGAUUUGGUCCAAUAGUGGCCUUGACUCAGACAGUCUUUUUAGUAGCUAUUGAGAGUUUCAAGUUUUUAUACUUGUUGGUUUAUUAUUCGAAUUACCCAUGUCCAAGGCUAGGUAUAGAACAAAGAGAAAAUAUGACACCUAUUGGUUUGAGUACGUUUAGUAGAGGAAAAGAUCAUAUUAAUAUAUUUGAGGAUCAUAUGAAGAGUAAAUUUAUAGUUCCCAUAGAGUAUGGAGUUAGUUUUAUCUUUGGGAUCAUACUUGAAAUGUAGUUUCAUACUACAUUGUUUACAUGAGCCUUUAUUAUUCUAUAUUAGUAUGUUUCUGUUUGUCACAGGUGAUUACUCAGCUUUUUGCUUACGUGUGUGUUUAUUUGCUAUGUGUGUUUGUGGCCAUGUCUUUUUCUUAUGGUGGCCCUACGAAGAUCCUUUUGGAAUUUGUCCUCUAUGGUGAGCAGUUAAGAUUGACAAGAGCAGAUUGAUCGUGAAAUAUCGCAGUUCAAGUUGAAGGAGUUCAAGUGUUAUCGUCAGGUCUUUUAUGACAGUUUAAUACUUUUCAACUGUAUAUAGAUCACCUAGUAAUUGAGUUGUAAUAGUUUAAGUUGUGUAAGCCUUAGCACUUGACAAUGUGGUCAAGUGUGGCGGUGAUACCUCCGAUUUAGGUGUAAGCUUCCGCUAUUGUUUCUAUAAAGUCUUUUAUAUUUUUAAUUAUUUAAAGUUAGUAAAUUGGGGGUGUCACAGUGUAACUAUUAUGUCCAACAUUUAAGCUAUAUACGCACGUAUGUGUUUUAUAUGUGA